UACAGAGGUCCCAAGCGUUGUUCGGAUUCACUGGGCGUAAAGGGUGCGUAGGUGGCCAGGUAAGUUCGGUGUGAAAGCUCGGAGCUUAACUCCGAAAUGGCAUUGAAUACUAUCUGGCUGGAGGGUCGGAGGGGAGACUGGAAUUCUCGGUGUAGCAGUGAAAUGCGUAGAUAUCGAGAGGAACACCAGUGGCGAAGGCGAGUCUCUGGACGACUCCUGACACUGAGGCACGAAAGCCAGGGGAGCAAACGGG
RNAcentral lists this ribosomal RNA (253 nucleotides) under uncultured bacterium. RNAcentral's name for it is "partial 16S ribosomal RNA". It matches the Rfam family "Bacterial small subunit ribosomal RNA", at positions 524 to 776 of the family's 1533-position model. The record is from RNAcentral.